This 1322-nucleotide long non-coding RNA is filed under the name Ananas comosus (pineapple). RNAcentral describes it as "long non-coding RNA (ACOM_LNC004108)". The record is from RNAcentral. Lineage: Eukaryota; Viridiplantae; Streptophyta; Magnoliopsida; Poales; Bromeliaceae.
UUUUGAGAGAAUAAGUGCGUUUGGUUCGCGCUAUCUUUUUAAGAUGCUAUUUUUUUAAGAUUUUUAAUAAUCUAAUAGAAAUAAACGUAUUAAAUAAUUUAAUUGAUAAUAUUAAAUUUACUUGGGAAUGAGAUUCAUCCCAAAAUAUUAAUCUUAUUCCCUUGAGAGAGGGUGGGUAUCUUCAUAUUAAUGGAUCGGGAUAAUCAGAAGAUGUCUAAUCUCUUUCUUUCUCUUUACUCGCCGGCUAGUUGAUAUUAUUUUUCUUUACACUAUAACCUUAUGUCUCUCUCUAAACUUAUCUUUCUCUCUAAAUUUCAAUUAUUUUUCUCUAUCUAAACUAAGCUAUCUCUCUCCCUCUUUUUCUAAAAUCUCAACUCUUUCACUCUCUCUAACCUUGACUAUAUUUAUCUUUCUAUUUCUUUAAUUUUGCUAUCCCUCCCUAAUCUAUGUUCUCCCUCAUUUUUAAAAAAAAAUGUUGAAAUUUUUUUGUAGCAUUAUCUAAAAUUAAUUAAAAAAAUAAAUAAAUUAAUUGUAUAUUUUUUUUGUAAUUUUAAAUAGUAUGACUAAAUAAUAUGACCGUACGAACCAAACACAGAAAUGUCAUAUUCUUAGUAAUAGAAUGAAUAGAAAUAAAAUUAUCGAAUACCUUUUUAUUCCUAGUAAUCUUUCAUAGUGCGAACCAAACGCACCCAAAGAGUAAUUUUUUCUAGAAUCUGUAAUUAUAUUUUAUAAAAAUAAAUUUAUAUCAAAUCAAAUAAAUAAAAAAAUUAUUUUUCAAACAAAAAAAAUAGUCUAUUAUUACAACAAGCUAAAUAUGUUCUUUAACUUGUACAUUAAAUAAAGGCCAAUUUAUAUAAAAAAUCCACAAAUUUUGAGCUUUUAUAAAACUAGGCCGUCUUUUUCGAUUUUGUAGAUUCGGUUCGAAUUUUUAGCAAACUGACCAAAAUACCUUUAUUAUUUUUUCUCUCUCCAUUUUUUUUCUCUCGUUAAUUUUUUUUCUAGGCAAAGGCAAAGGCGGAGGCGGAAACGGCUCAUCUCGUCUCUCAUGCCCUCGCCCGCGUACCCCCGCCUUCCUCGCCUCCGACGCCGCCGAUGCCAAGUUGCAAUGCAACAAGAGAAGAAACAGUAUAAAUAUCUCUAAAGUAUGCAGUUUACAUCUCAAAGAGUGCAACAAGAAGAGAAACAGUAUAAAAAUCUCUCAAAGAGUGCAAAUUUCGUUUAAAGUGUGUAACUUUCAUUUUAAAGGAUAUAGCUUAUAUCUCAAAGAGUGCAAUAAGAAAAAAAAAUAGUGUAAAUAUCUUCCAAAGUGUAUAAUUUUUAUU